This is a long non-coding RNA of Erinaceus europaeus (western European hedgehog), 1659 nucleotides long. RefSeq lists it as uncharacterized. NCBI's taxonomy places the organism in Eukaryota, Metazoa, Chordata, Mammalia, Eulipotyphla, Erinaceidae. The record is from RefSeq and is a predicted model, not a curated record. The transcript has 3 exons.
GUUUAGAGGGUUGACACUGUUAGUUCCUCAAACUCAGCUUUUUUUUUACCCUAGUAUCUAUUAAUGAACCAGGCCUUGUUUAUUUAGGGCUGUGGAUAAAACAGAGAUCCUGCCCUGGUAGAGGAGACAGACACUAAGUACAACAACAAACAUGAUUUAACAGAUGCAGAUAAAUGCUGUAAAAGAAAAGGGCAGAGUCCCAGCGUGAAAAGGUGUUGUCUGGGGUAGAUAAGGUCAGACCAGAGUCUCUCAUUAGAGGAUACUGGCAUGCGGUCUGACUGACUGAAGUAAGAAGCUCUGAGGUUGUCACAUGAAUAUUGGGAAAGUUGCCUCAGGCACCAAAAGCAAAGGCCCUGAGACAGCAACAUGCCUGAAAUGUUCCAGUAAGGAAUUCAGUGUGGUGAAUCCAGGCCAGAGAGGUCUGUAGCCCAGGAGAGAGAGAGAGAGAGAGAGAGAGAGAGAGAGAGAGAGAGAGAGAGGAGGAGCGCCAGCUUAGAGUACUGCUCUGGUGUAUUCAUUGCCAGGAAUCAGACCAGGACAUCACAAAUGCAAGCCUGGUGUUGUCUACUGAGCAACCUCCCUGGUCAGGAAGGAGGCUGGGGGUGUUAUGAAUUCCUCAAUUGUUAAUGGAAAGAAACACCGGUUGCACUGGAUGACUACAUAGCAACUUCAUUCUGAACAGCUACUUAUCAUCAGCCUGGGCUUUGAAUUCUUUCUUCACUAAGAUGCCCCACCCACUCUGCAAACGCUUCUACAAUGAGAUCCAGUGCUUCUUAGUUCUUUUAAUGGCAAUCCACCUUUCAUCAUUAAAACUAAAAAAGUUUAUUUUUAUUUCUUGUCCCCUUUUGCCAUCUUUACAUUUUCUUCUUAAUAUUUUUUGAAAUUAUCUUUAUUUGUGGUCCUGGAGGUGGUACAGUGGAUAAAGCAUUGAACUCUCAUCAAGUGUGAGGUCCUGCGUUCAAUCCCUGCAGCACAUGUACCAGAGUGAUGUCUGAUUCUCUCUCUCUCCGCCUAUCACUCUUAAUGAAUAAAUCAGUCAAUCUUUAAAAAUAUAUAUCUUUAUUUAUUUACUGCAUAGGGAGAGCCAGAAAUCGAGAGGGAAGGGGUACACCUGCAGCCCUACUUCACCACUCGCAAAGCUUUCCCCCUGAAGAUAGGAACUGGGGGCUUGAACUCUUAUCCCUGAGCACUGUAACAUGUAUGUUCAGCCACGUGCACCACCGCCUGGCCCCCCCUCCUUACACUCUCCACUAAUCCAAGCUGUCCUGACAUGCUACUAGUUUUUGUGUCUAACAUCUCUUUUGAUUUCAUUAAAUACUAUAUCAUCACCCAAAAUUAACAUAUGUUAUCAUUUUUACAUACAUAUUUUAAUUUUUUGAUGAAAUAAAUAUUGGAGAUAAACAAACAUUUUGAAUUCUAUUCUCUCCUUCAAAUCUCACCUCACAGAGCCCUUGUUCAGUGUGUGUUUGAAUUUUUUUUACUUAAGUGUACCCAUAAUUAAUGCAUGGUAUUGUCUUAUGGACCAUAUAUAUCUGUCCUGUGAUUUCCUUACUGAACAUUGUCUUUGAAAUAAAUCCAUGUUUACAUAUCUACAUUGCACAGUAUACAUGUGUAUAUAUAUAGUAAAUAUGUGUGUGACAAAUAGGUGCAUACUUUAAA